This 278-nucleotide ribosomal RNA is filed under the name uncultured prokaryote. RNAcentral's name for it is "partial 16S ribosomal RNA". It matches the Rfam family "Bacterial small subunit ribosomal RNA", at positions 524 to 801 of the family's 1533-position model. The record is from RNAcentral.
GACAGAGGGUGCAAACGUUGCUCGGAAUUACUGGGCGUAAAGGGCGCGUAGGCGGAUUUGGAAGUCGGGUGUGAAAUCCCUGGGCUCAACCUAGGAACUGCAUUCGAAACUCCAAGUCUAGAGUGACGGAGAGGAAAGCGGAAUUCCCGGUGUAGAGGUGAAAUUCGUAGAUAUCGGGAGGAACACCAGAGGCGAAGGCGGCUUUCUGGACGUCUACUGACGCUGAGGCGCGAAAGCGUGGGGAGCAAACAGUAUUAGAUACCCGGGUAGUCUCUGAG